This 591-nucleotide ribosomal RNA is filed under the name uncultured Pseudozyma. Its description in RNAcentral is "eukaryotic LSU rRNA". It matches the Rfam family "Eukaryotic large subunit ribosomal RNA", at positions 81 to 655 of the family's 3401-position model. The record is from RNAcentral. Lineage: Eukaryota; Fungi; Basidiomycota; Ustilaginomycetes; Ustilaginales; Ustilaginaceae.
UAGUACGGCGAGUGAGAGGGAAGAGCCCAAGAUUGAAAGCUGGCGUCUUCGGCGUCCGCAUUGUAAUCUCAAGAAGUGUUUUCCGCUUCGGACCAUGCCUAAGUCCCUUGGAAAAGGGCAUCAUAGAGGGUGAUAAUCCCGUACAUGGCAUGGAGCGCCCGAAGCUUUGUGAUACGCUUUCUAAGAGUCGAGUUGUUUGGGAAUGCAGCUCAAAAUGGGUGGUAAAUGCCAUCUAAGGCUAAAUAUUGGGGAGAGACCGAUAGCGAACAAGUACAGUGAUGGAAAGAUGAAAAGAACUUUGAAAAGAGAGUUAAACAGUACGUGAAAUUGCCAAAAGGGAAGGGUAGGAGGUCAGAGAUGCGGCCUGGGAUUCAGCCUUGCUUUUGCUUGGUGUUUUUCCCAGAUUGCAGGCCAACGUCGGUUUUGGGCACUGGAGAAGGGUAGGAGGAACGUGGCACCUCUCGGGGUGUGUUAUAGCCUCCUACUGGAUACAGCGACCGAGACCGAGGACAGCAGCGUACUCGCAAGAGCGGGCCUUCGGGCACCUUUACGCUUAGGGCGUUGGCAUAAUGGCCCUCUACCACCCGUCUU